Molecule: ribosomal RNA, 266 nt
Filed under: uncultured Eubacteriales bacterium
Lineage: Bacteria; Bacillati; Bacillota; Clostridia; Eubacteriales
Description: uncultured Clostridiales bacterium partial 16S ribosomal RNA
Rfam family: Bacterial small subunit ribosomal RNA
Source: RNAcentral
AGCUUGCUCUUUCCGGAAUUGAGUGGCAAACGGGUGAGUAACACGUAAACAACCUGCCUUCAGGAUGGGGACAACAGACGGAAACGACUGCUAAUACCGCAUGACACAUAGAGAUCGCAUGGUUUUUAUGUCAAAGAUUUAUCGCUGAAAGAUGGCCUCGCGUCUGAUUAGCUAGUUGGUGAGGUAACGGCCCACCAAGGCGACGAUCAGUAGCCGGACUGAGAGGUUGAACGGCCACAUUAGGACUGAGAGACGGCCCAGACUCC